UUGUUUUCUUUGGGACCAGACCUAUGGCUUGGGCCUCUGAGCUACCUGCUCUGCCCCAUCCCUUUUCCUAGAAAAACAGCCAGGCAAAAUCUGGCAACCAGGUCUUCAGGAGCUGUGUGCACCCUCUGGCCUGUGCUACAGGAUCAGAUAGAGAUGUCUCCUAUCCCUUGGUUAAGGUAAGCUCCCUGGGAAGGAACAGCAUGUGCUGAUCCUUAACUGUGAAUUGGACAAUAGCUCAAAGAAAUAAAUUUACCCUAGGAAGUGAAUCAGCAAGACAAGACAUGUCCCCAGAAAGCCCAUCUCCGGGAUGGCUUUGAUGCUGGCAGAGCAGCAGUCUGCUCAGAGAGCAGGUGAAGGCCAUCAGCUGGGGGCUGCACUCACUCUUCCUUAACACCUGGGAGAGUCAUCCCCCAAAGGGAGCUUUUCCACUUGCCACAGCCUUGCUUAGCUCAAUGGGAAUCGCUGAGAUCAGAGACAGGAAGAAAGAGCCUGUAUCCUUGCUCCCUCCUGGGCUUUUGAGGUUCUGCUUCACAUCCUUAUAAAGUCUGAGGCAAGACACCUGUCCUCUGAGCUUUGGAACCUGGCUAUGGCUGCCACUUAACCCCUCUUUUCACAAUAGGUAUCUCCUCUCCUCCCUGCACCAAUGGCCUAAUUGCAUGCAUGCCUGUUGACACAGAGUGGAAAGAAGAAAGUCUUUAGUUAAGCAAUUAGUUGCUGCCAUUGCAGGCCCUGCCACAAGAUAAUUGAGAGCCAUUAAGUAAUGUUUGGUUCUGAAAUGUAGCAAUUAUCUCGGUAAUUGCAAGGACGUUCCUUGAAUUCUAACCCAUUUUUAUUGACAUGUUGAGUGUUUCUGCUGCUGUCCAAGCUGCUGGAGUGCCUGGUGAGAGACAGCAGGGAGAAGAAGUGUGUUCUCUAGGAGAAUGCCAAGAGUAAUUAUUUGGUGAUGCUUUUUGUGUUGCAAGCACCUGAUACUGAGUUGGCUUCACCCUGCUGUGGUCAAGAGCUCUCAGCCUGGGCAGGGAGAUCUCGCCCUUCCUAAGACCAAAGCAGAU
This 1052-nucleotide long non-coding RNA is filed under the name Cyanistes caeruleus (blue tit). RNAcentral's name for it is "lncRNA (ENSCCEG00000014448.1)". The record is from RNAcentral. Lineage: Eukaryota; Metazoa; Chordata; Aves; Passeriformes; Paridae.